GACGAACGCUGGCGGCGUGCUUAACACAUGCAAGUCGAACGGAAAGGCCCUGCUUGCAGGGUGCUCGAGUGGCGAACGGGUGAGUAACACGUGGGUAAUCUGCCCCUUACUUUGGGAUAAGCCUGGGAAACUGGGUCUAAUACUGGAUAGGACCAUGCUGUAGGUGGUGUGGUGGAAAGAUUAGUUUCGGUAAGGGAUGAGCUUGCGGCCUAUCAGCUUGUUGGUGGGGUAAUGGCCUACCAAGGCGUCGACGGGUAGCCGGCCUGAGAGGGUGGACGGCCACAUUGGGACUGAGAUACGGCCCAGACUCCUACGGGAGGCAGCAGUGGGGAAUAUUGCACAAUGGGCGCAAGCCUGAUGCAGCGACGCCGCGUGGGGGAUGACGGCCUUCGGGUUGUAAACUCCUUUCAGCCAUGACGAAGCCCUUGUGGUGACGGUAGUGGUAGAAGAAGCACCGGCUAACUACGUG
Molecule: ribosomal RNA, 469 nt
Filed under: uncultured bacterium
Lineage: Bacteria
Description: partial 16S ribosomal RNA
Rfam family: Bacterial small subunit ribosomal RNA
Source: RNAcentral